Molecule: ribosomal RNA, 220 nt
Filed under: uncultured bacterium
Lineage: Bacteria
Description: partial 16S ribosomal RNA
Rfam family: Bacterial small subunit ribosomal RNA
Source: RNAcentral
GCAAGUCGUGCGAAGACUUCGGUCUUAGCGGAGGACGGGUGAGUAACGCGUGGGAACAUACCUUUCUCUACGGAACAGUCCUGGGAAACUGGGUUUAAUACCGUAUACGCCCUUCGGGGGAAAGAUUUAUCGGGGAGAGAUUGGCCCGCGUUGGAUUAGGUAGUGGGUGAGGUAAAGGCUCACCAAGCCGACGAUCCAUAGCUGGUUUGAGAGGAUGGCC